This 781-nucleotide non-coding RNA is filed under the name Deronectes hispanicus. Lineage: Eukaryota; Metazoa; Arthropoda; Insecta; Coleoptera; Dytiscidae. The record is from RNAcentral.
AUAAAGUUUAAUUUUAACUUGAAGUUUUAUUUAAUUUUUUAUUUACAUGUAAAUUUUUUUAAGUUUUUAAUUUUAAUUUAAAUAAUUAAUAUUAAAUUUUUUAUUCGCAGUAUAUAAUUUUAUUGAUUUAAGAAAUUAAGAAUUAUAAAUAAAUUUUAAUAUUAACAAAAUUUGUGCCAGCAGUUGCGGUUAUACGAAAAAUGUGAAUAAAUUUUAUUGGUUGGUAAUUAAAGGUUUAAUUUUAAUUAAAAUUAGAUUUAUAAGGUGAAAUUUUAAAAUUUAAAAUAAUUAUUAUAUAGGUUCUUGAUUUUAUUAAUUUUUUUUUAUAAACUAGGAUUAGAUACCCUAUUAUUAAAAAUGUAAAAAUUUUUCAUCAAAGUAGUAUUAGUUAAGGUCUUGAAAUUUAAAAAUUUUGGCGGUGUUUUAGUCUAUUCAGAGGAACCUGUUCUAUGAUUGAUAGUCCACGAUAAAUUUUACUUAAUUUAAUAGUUUGUAUAUCGUCGUUAUUAAAUAUUUUAAAAGAAUUAAAUAUUUAAUAUUUUUUAUUAAAAAAUAUAUCAGAUCAAGGUGCAGCUUAUAUUUAAGAAGAAAUGGGUUACAAUAAAUUUAUUUAUAUGAAUUUAAUAAUGAAAAUUUUGAUGAAGGUGGAUUUGAUAGUAAUAAAAUUUAAAUUAAUUUUAUGAUUUUAGCUCUAAAAUGUGUACAUAUCGCCCGUCACUCUUAUUAUAAAAUAAGAUAAGUCGUAACAAAGUAGAUGUACUGGAAAGUGUAUCUAGAAUGA